CACCGCGGUUAUACGAGAGACCCAAGUUGACAGACAAUCGGCGUAAAGAGUGGUUAAGUAAUAUAUUUCACUAAAGCCAAACACCUUCAAAGCUGUUAUACGCACCCGAAGAUCAGAAGCCCAAUCACGAAAGUGGCUUUAAACUAACUGAACCCACGAAAGCUAGGGUA
This 170-nucleotide ribosomal RNA is filed under the name Acanthurus mata (elongate surgeonfish). RNAcentral describes it as "partial 12S rRNA". Lineage: Eukaryota; Metazoa; Chordata; Actinopteri; Acanthuriformes; Acanthuridae. The record is from RNAcentral.